RNAcentral lists this ribosomal RNA (324 nucleotides) under Triticum aestivum (bread wheat). RNAcentral's name for it is "partial small subunit ribosomal RNA". The record is from RNAcentral. Lineage: Eukaryota; Viridiplantae; Streptophyta; Magnoliopsida; Poales; Poaceae.
AUGCCUGGAGAUCUUAGCCAGUGGAUAAUGAAGCAUUAUGACCCUGAGAUUUUGCAGAUAGUCAUUCCAGAAAGGGGGGAGAUUCCUGUAGAUGCCGCAAGUGUCCGUAGGAUAUGGGGUUUGCCAAAUAGGGGCAGGAAGUUGUUGUAUUUGGACUCUUUGGACGUUGAUGAGCCAAUCCCGAACUUGGUACCAUGGGUUUCAGUUUGGAAUUCAGAUUUAAUUUCCAAAGUUAUCAAGAAGGACAGGAAGGCUCCGGGAGAAUAUGGCAAAUUGCGGGGGAGCACGACAAAUGGUGGAUCACCACGAGGGGGCAAGUGUUGA